GAUGAACGCUGGCGGCGUGCCUAAUACAUGCAAGUCGAGCGAACAGAUGAGGAGCUUGCUCCUCUGACGUUAUCGGCGGACGGGUGAUUAACACGUGGAUAACCUACCUAUAAGACUGGGAUACCUUCGGGAAACCGGAGCUAAUACCGGAUAAUAUAUUGCACCUCAUGGUUCACUAGUGAAAUUCGGUUUUGCUUUCACUUAUAGAUUGAUCCGCGCCGCAUUAGCUAGUUGGUAAGGUAACGGCUUACCAAGGCAACGAUGGGUAGCCGACCUGAGAGGGUGAUCGGCCACACUGGAACUGAGACACGGUACAGACUCCUACGGGAGGCAGCAGUAGGGAAUCUUCCGCAAUGGGCGAAAGCCUGACGGAGCAAAGCCGCGUGAGUGAUGAAGGUCUUCGGAUCGUAAAACUAUGUUAUUAGGGAAGAACAAAUGUGUAAGUAACUAUGCACGUCUUGACGGUACCUAAUCAGAAAGCCACGGCUAACUACGUG
This 497-nucleotide ribosomal RNA is filed under the name uncultured bacterium. RNAcentral's name for it is "partial 16S ribosomal RNA". It matches the Rfam family "Bacterial small subunit ribosomal RNA", at positions 28 to 507 of the family's 1533-position model. The record is from RNAcentral.